Molecule: ribosomal RNA, 264 nt
Filed under: uncultured bacterium
Lineage: Bacteria
Description: partial 16S ribosomal RNA
Rfam family: Bacterial small subunit ribosomal RNA
Source: RNAcentral
GUCCACGCCGUAAACGAUGAGUGCUAGGUGCUGUGGGUAUUGACCCCCGCGGUGCCGCAGCCAACGCGUUAAGCACUCCGCCUGGGGAGUACGGCCGCAAGGCUAAAACUCAAAGGAAUUGACGGGGCCCGCACAAGCGGUGGAGCAUGUGGUUCAAUUCGACGCAACGCGCAGAACCUUACCUGGGUUAAAUCCACCAGAAUCUUGUAGAGAUACAGGGGUGCCCUUCGGGGAACUGGUGAGAAGGUGCUGCAUGGCUGUCGU